UUUCCGUAGGUGAACCUGCGGAAGGAUCAUUAACACGAAUUAUUUAUUAUCCAAUAUCAAAAACCAAACGUGAACCUUUUCCCUCCCUAUAUAUAUAUAUAUAUGCUAACCUCAUUUAAUUAAUUUUUAACACUUUAAACCUUAACUAGUUUUAAUGUAGCCAUUAAAACAUCUAAACUAAAAAAGACAAGGUUAUUCGAAAGAGUAAACUUUAACUUUUUUCGAUUUACGAAAAAUUUAAAAGAACAACUCUUAACAAUGGAUAUCUUGGUUCUC
This 276-nucleotide unclassified non-coding RNA is filed under the name plant metagenome. Its description in RNAcentral is "partial contains small subunit ribosomal RNA, internal transcribed spacer 1, and 5.8S ribosomal RNA". The record is from RNAcentral.